RNAcentral lists this ribosomal RNA (497 nucleotides) under uncultured bacterium. RNAcentral's name for it is "partial 16S ribosomal RNA". It matches the Rfam family "Bacterial small subunit ribosomal RNA", at positions 28 to 507 of the family's 1533-position model. The record is from RNAcentral.
GAUGAACGCUGGCGGCGUGCCUAAUACAUGCAAGUCGAGCGAACGGACGAGAAGCUUGCUUCUCUGAUGUUAGCGGCGGACGGGUUAGUAACACGUGGAUAACCUACCUAUAAGACUGGGAUAACUUCGGGAAACCGUAGCUAAUACCGGAUAAUAUUUUGAACCGCAUGGUUCAAAAGUGAAAGACGGUCUUGCUGUCACUUAUAGAUGGAUCCGCGCUGCAUUAGCUAGUUGGUAAGGUAACGGCUUACCAAGGCAACGAUGCAUAGCCGACCUGAGAGGGUGAUCGGCCACACUGGAACUGAGACACGGUCCAGACUCCUACGGGAGGCAGCAGUAGGGAAUCUUCCGCAAUGGGCGAAAGCCUGACGGAGCAACGCCGCGUGAGUGAUGAAGGUCUUCGGAUCGUAAAACUCUGUUAUUAGGGAAGAACAUAUGUGUAAGUAACUGUGCACAUCUUGACGGUACCUAAUCAGAAAGCCACGGCUAACUACGUG